ACCGUUCUAUCUUGCUCAGCUCCUUCCUCUCUGCGAUUUGGUGUGAAGGAGCUUCAGCUCUGCUCUAGAGAGCUGCCGAAAAAACACUUUUUGCUCUCUCCUUUGAUUGACAAGACUGAAAACCCUUUGUUUCUCCGAUGUAUCCAGAGGUUUCUAUGUUUCAGGUUCCGCUUUUCCCAGCUUUCGUCAUCAUGAUCCGCGGUAAUUGUGCCUCAUUUUCAUUGUUCUUUUCUGGCCCUCCAGCUGCUUGCUUCCUCAUUCUGAGCUGCUGCCUCGUUUCUUUUUUUCUGCUUUUUCUUUCCUUUGUAACAAUUGCUAUCUUGCUGCCUCCUUGCGUAAGCUUUAAUUCCGCUACUAUUGUUUGGAUUUAACUUCUCCUGAUUGUGUUCCCGUUUCCUGUCGUGCUUAUUUUGGUUUUUCCUCACCUGCAAUUUAUGCCAUCCUGAGCUGUUACUGUUGCGUUGCCUCUUUGCUUUGCUUUGCCGCUCGUUUUGCUUCUCAAGCGCCCUGCUUAAAUUUACCUUUCUGCCACAGCCUUUUCCCCUGUGUUUUCCAUUUGUCCUCCUGUCAGUAGUUCUUGCAUCAGUUUUUUUUUUUUUUUUUACUUUUUGUUCUGCUACUGUUACUACGUGCACGUUAUCUUGCCCCCCAUUCUGUUUUGUGAUUUCCCCCUUUUCCCCUAGCAUUUCUUAUAUUUUUCCCCACUAUACUCUCUGGUGCUUGUUGUCCUGCAUUUACUCUUUGAGUUUUCCAUUUUUCCUCCUGUCGUCAUUUCUUGCGUCGCUGUAUUUUUUCCCCUUUUGUUUUGCUGUUGUUGCUACAUACAAGUUAUCUUGCCCCCCUUCUAUUUAGUGAUUUUCCCCUUUUCCCCUUGAAUUUCUUAUAUUUUUACCCACUUUGUUCUCUGAUGCUUGUUGUGCUGCAUUUACUUUUUGAUAUUAUAUUUUCUUACUCUUUUUGCUCUCACUGGCUUAUUCAGGUGUUGUCCUCUUCUGUGUUGCUCUGCUGUUGGGUAAUAAAGGCUUGUUAUCUAACGUUAAGGUGCCAUUACUUAUUCUCCCUUCUGUAUGUGCUUUUACCUUGCUCGUACCCAAUAAUCAUUUUGCUACAUGCUUUUGUUACCUCGCUUUUAGCUGUUGCCGCCUUUACUCAGCCUUUUAACUCCUGUUUUCUUAUCUGUUCUAUUCUAUGCUGCUGUGUAAGCUCUGUGCUUUACCUUUUCUUCACUCUGUUUCUUUUUUAAUAUAUUGGCUGAAUUCUAUGGUGUUGUGUAAGGGCUGUACUUUAGCUUUUCUUUACUCUGUUUUGUUUUGAAUGUCUGCUCAGUUCCAUGCUGCUGUGUAAAGGCUGCGCUUGAGCUUUUCUUUCUCUAAUUGUGUUUACUCAUUCUUUAAUAUUUUUACAUCUUCCAUUUACUUCUCCGCACGAUUAUCAUAUCUCCA
RNAcentral lists this long non-coding RNA (1442 nucleotides) under Coffea arabica (coffee). RNAcentral's name for it is "long non-coding RNA (CARA_LNC006304)". The record is from RNAcentral. Lineage: Eukaryota; Viridiplantae; Streptophyta; Magnoliopsida; Gentianales; Rubiaceae.